RNAcentral lists this ribosomal RNA (433 nucleotides) under uncultured bacterium. RNAcentral describes it as "partial 16S ribosomal RNA". It matches the Rfam family "Bacterial small subunit ribosomal RNA", at positions 29 to 507 of the family's 1533-position model. The record is from RNAcentral.
AACGAACGCUGGCGGCAUGCCUAACACAUGCAAGUCGAACGAUACCUUCGGGUCUAGUGGCGCACAGGUUCGUAACGCGUGGGAACCUGCGCUUAGGUUCGGAAUAACUCCCCGAAAGUGGUGCUAAUACCGGUUAAUGUCUUCGGACCAAAGAUUUCUCGGCUUUGUAUGGGCCCGCGUUGGAUUAUCUAUGUGGUAGGGUAACGGCAUGCCAAGGCGACGUUGCAUAGCUGUUCUGCACGGAUGAUCAGCCACACUGGGACUGAGACACGGCCCAAACUCCUACGGGGGGGAGCAGUGGAGAAUAUUGGACACUCGAGCAAAGCGUGAUACAGCACUGCCGCGUGAGUGAGGCAUGCCGUAGGGUUGUAAAGCUCGUUUACCCGGGGUGAUAAUGACAGUACCGGGAGAAUAAGCUCCGGCUAACUCCGUG